Molecule: non-coding RNA, 111 nt
Organism: Malassezia sympodialis ATCC 42132
Lineage: Eukaryota; Fungi; Basidiomycota; Malasseziomycetes; Malasseziales; Malasseziaceae
Source: Rfam
GGCAAGGUGCCGGAGUGGUUAACGGGUUCGCCUCGAAUCUUUAGUUCGACGCCGAGUACGGCGGUAAGCGAAUGGGCUCUGCCCGCACAGGUUCGAGUCCUGUUCUUGUCG